Molecule: unclassified non-coding RNA, 252 nt
Filed under: uncultured fungus
Lineage: Eukaryota; Fungi
Description: partial contains 5.8S ribosomal RNA, internal transcribed spacer 2, and large subunit ribosomal RNA
Source: RNAcentral
AACGCACAUUGCGCCCUUUGGCAUUCCUUAGGGCAUGCCUGUUCGAGCGUCAUCUAAAAACCCUCAAGCACUGCUUGGUGUUGGGCGCCUUGUCCCGCCCCCGGGCGCGGACUCGCCUCAAAAACAUUGGCGGCCUGUGUAUUGGCUUCGAGCGCAGCAGAAACGCGCCUCGCAGACCUCUCGCGCGGGCGUCCAUCAAGACGCAACCACAAGUUUGACCUCGGAUCAGGUAGGGAUACCCGCUGAACUUAA